This 253-nucleotide ribosomal RNA is filed under the name uncultured bacterium. RNAcentral describes it as "partial 16S ribosomal RNA". It matches the Rfam family "Bacterial small subunit ribosomal RNA", at positions 524 to 776 of the family's 1533-position model. The record is from RNAcentral.
UACAAAGGGGGCAAGCGUUGUUCGGAAUUACUGGGCGUAAAGCGCGCGUAGGCGGCCCUGCAAGUCGGGGGUGAAAGCCCGAGGCUCAACCUCGGAACUGCCUUCGAUACUGCGGGUCUCGAGUCCGGGAGAGGUGAGUGGAAUUCCUAGUGUAGUGGUGAAAUGCGUAGAGAUCCGGAGGAACACCAGUGGCAAAGGCGACACGCUGGGCCAUACCUGACGCUAAAGCGCGACAGCAUGGGGAGCAAACGGG